This 634-nucleotide ribosomal RNA is filed under the name Bacillus cereus. RNAcentral describes it as "bacterial SSU rRNA". It matches the Rfam family "Bacterial small subunit ribosomal RNA", at positions 79 to 690 of the family's 1533-position model. The record is from RNAcentral. Lineage: Bacteria; Bacillati; Bacillota; Bacilli; Caryophanales; Bacillaceae.
UUGAUCCUAUGAGUUAGCGGCGGACGGGUGAGUAACACGUGGGUAACCUGCCCAUAAGACUGGGAUAACUCCGGGAAACCGGGGCUAAUACCGGAUAACAUUUUGAACCGCAUGGUUCGAAAUUGAAAGGCGGCUUCGGCUGUCACUUAUGGAUGGACCCGCGUCGCAUUAGCUAGUUGGUGAGGUAACGGCUCACCAAGGCAACGAUGCGUAGCCGACCUGAGAGGGUGAUCGGCCACACUGGGACUGAGACACGGCCCAGACUCCUACGGGAGGCAGCAGUAGGGAAUCUUCCGCAAUGGACGAAAGUCUGACGGAGCAACGCCGCGUGAGUGAUGAAGGCUUUCGGGUCGUAAAACUCUGUUGUUAGGGAAGAACAAGUGCUAGUUGAAUAAGCUGGCACCUUGACGGUACCUAACCAGAAAGCCACGGCUAACUACGUGCCAGCAGCCGCGGUAAUACGUAGGGGGCAAACGUUAUCCGGAAUUAUUGGGCGUAAAGCGCGCGCAGGUGAUUUCUUAAGUCUGAUGUGAUAGCGCACGGGCUCAACCGGGGAGGGACAUUGGGGGGGUGGCAGACUUGACUGUAGAAGGAGGGAAAGUGGUAAUUGCGUGGGGGAGCCGGGGGAAAUGCG